RNAcentral lists this ribosomal RNA (253 nucleotides) under uncultured bacterium. RNAcentral describes it as "partial 16S ribosomal RNA". It matches the Rfam family "Bacterial small subunit ribosomal RNA", at positions 524 to 776 of the family's 1533-position model. The record is from RNAcentral.
GACGGAGGAUGCAAGCGUUAUCCGGAAUGAUUGGGCGUAAAGCGUCCGCAGGUGGCAGUUCAAGUCUGCUGUCAAAGACCGGGGCUUAACUUCGGAAAGGCAGUGGAAACUGAACAGCUAGAGUAUGGUAGGGGCAGAGGGAAUUCCUGGUGUAGCGGUGAAAUGCGUAGAGAUCAGGAAGAACACCGGUGGCGAAGGCGCUCUGCUAGGCCGUAACUGACGCUGAGGAACGAAAGCCAGGGGAGCGAACGGG